Molecule: transfer RNA, 54 nt
Filed under: Rhadinaea nuchalis
Lineage: Eukaryota; Metazoa; Chordata; Lepidosauria; Squamata; Dipsadidae
Description: partial tRNA-Leu
Source: RNAcentral
UACCAAAGGAUAACAGUAUUCCACUGGUCUUAGGCACCAAAAUCCUUGGUGCAA